GAUGGAGAACCAGCGAAAUGCGAUAAGUAAUGUGAAUUGCAGAAUUCAGUGAAUCAUCGAAUCUUUGAACGCACAUUGCGCCCCCUGGUAUUCCGGGGGGCAUGCCUGUUCGAGCGUCAUUUCAACCCUCAAGCUCUGCUUGGUAUUGAGUCCAUGUCAGCAAUGGCAGGCUCCAAAAUCAGUGGCGGCGCCGCUGGGUCCUGAACGUAGUAAUAUCUCUCGUUACAGGUGCUCGGCGUGCUUCUGCCAAAACCCCAAUUUUUCUAUGGUUGACCUCGGAUCAGGUAGGGAUACCCGCUGAACUUAAGCAUAUCAAUAAGCGGAGGA
This 327-nucleotide unclassified non-coding RNA is filed under the name soil metagenome. RNAcentral's name for it is "partial contains 5.8S ribosomal RNA, internal transcribed spacer 2, and large subunit ribosomal RNA". The stretch from base 1 to 119 matches the Rfam family "5.8S ribosomal RNA", at positions 35 to 154 of the family's 154-position model. The record is from RNAcentral.